UACGUAGGGACCAAGCGUUGUUCGGAUUUACUGGGCGUAAAGGGCGCGUAGGCGGCAAUUCAAGUCAUCUGUGAAAUCUCCGGGCUUAACUCGGAACGGUCAGGUGAUACUGUUUUGCUAGAGUGCGGAAGGGGCAAUCGGAAUUCUUGGUGUAGCGGUGAAAUGCGUAGAUAUCAAGAGGAACACCUGAGGUGAAGACGGGUUGCUGGGCCGACACUGACGCUGACAGCGCGAAAGCCAGGGGAGCAAACGGGG
This 255-nucleotide ribosomal RNA is filed under the name uncultured bacterium. RNAcentral describes it as "partial 16S ribosomal RNA". It matches the Rfam family "Bacterial small subunit ribosomal RNA", at positions 524 to 777 of the family's 1533-position model. The record is from RNAcentral.